Oreochromis aureus is the source of this 1255-nucleotide long non-coding RNA. RefSeq lists it as uncharacterized. Lineage: Eukaryota; Metazoa; Chordata; Actinopteri; Cichliformes; Cichlidae. The annotation marks the transcript as partial. The transcript is spliced from 3 exons. The record is from RefSeq and is a predicted model, not a curated record.
GAAACUCAAACCCGCCGCCCUCUCACUCGAGCUAAGCUGAAGUGAUUCAGCAUAGUGCUGGUUUGGAUUUUGGUGGCUCUGGAGUGCAUUUUAUGGGUGUGAAGAGAAUUUAGAGAUGACACUGUUUCAGACACUGCCCCAGCAACUAGGGACAACCAAGACACCGUGUCUGGAGAUGAGCCACCCAGUGACACCACCACCAAACCCCCCUACUUAACAGACCCUCCCUCCACCAUCGACUAUGAUGAUGCCACAGAAGUUUUCAAUGAAGAGGAAGGGGCCAUGGGGCCAGGGGCCAUCACAGCCAUAGUUAUAGCAGUCUUCCUGGGAGCAUCUGUCCUCCUCGCUCUCAUCGUCAUCACACUCAGGAAGUUCACCGCCUCCUAGAUGAAACACAUAUGGUUUAUAUGUGUGUGUGCAUGUGUGUGCGUGUGUGUGUGUGUGUGUGUGUGUGUGUGUGUGUUGGUAAACCAUGACAUGUCAGUGUUUCUCUGUUGCUUCUCAGUUCCAUCUUUCAACUCCAGGCUCGACCUUUGUGUAAAACGUGUCUUUUGCUUUGCUGAAAAUUUUGGCAGGCUCCUUAUCUGACUAUGUGCAGAUUUCCUAAAUACUCAAAUUGUUGCUCAACACGUCCACUUGUUGCUGAAGAAACUAUCUUAGAGACUGGCUGGCUCUUCCAGUACAAUGCUGUAGCAUAUUUGUCACUUGUGGGGUUUUUUUUUUUUUUUUUACACAUGUUGUUUUCCAGUCAUUUCAGUUUUUCGCCUUUCUUCAAUACAUGAUUUUGCUUCUAUGUUAGCAGGAAGCGUUUGUGGUUUUGUUUGUCUGUGUCUUACUUUUCCAAUCAGUGAGAAAUAUAUUUGAAUUUUUUUUAGUCGUACAUGGAAGGCUUUUAUUGGUCUUUCUCAGUAACUGUACCUGAAUCAUUUUCAAAAAUAUUUCCAAGGUGUCACCGUGCAGAAGUUUUCAAGUUUGUAUUAAACCAUUAACAAACAUUUGUAGAGUCAAAUUAAGAGGAGAACAUCUUUAAAAGGGGCUUUUUCAAUGAAAGUAAACAGCCGUGUUGUUUGUACCUGCAGAGCAAAUAUGCAGUUAGUGCUUGGAUGAAUGUGCCUUUUGUCUUUGCAUGUUUGUGUGGGGUUUUUUGUCUCUCUUUUUUUGCAGGGGGAAAAUUACUAUAGUAUGUAAUAUUUUUCUGUACAACCCAGAGUCCUCAGUCAUACAGCUGGAUGCUGCCAUUUUAUCAUCAAGUCAA